Molecule: non-coding RNA, 27 nt
Filed under: Rattus norvegicus (Norway rat)
Lineage: Eukaryota; Metazoa; Chordata; Mammalia; Rodentia; Muridae
Source: RNAcentral
UGCAAUUUCAAUCAUUGAGAAUAAGAG